This 420-nucleotide ribosomal RNA is filed under the name Triticum aestivum (bread wheat). RNAcentral describes it as "partial small subunit ribosomal RNA". The record is from RNAcentral. Lineage: Eukaryota; Viridiplantae; Streptophyta; Magnoliopsida; Poales; Poaceae.
AUGCUCCUGGCUUGGACCGGCCCCCUCUGCUCUAUCUUCCAGGCCCUCUUCAACCACACCAGAAGAAAGAACAGAACGGUGGCAUCAGGCCUAGUGAAUGACCAAUGGAUUCGAGACUUACAUCACGACAACACCUUCAAGAUCGCCAGCAACUUUUUGCAGCUUUGGCAAAAAAUUCAGAGUUCGGAUCUUGUGAUUUCAGCUCAAACUCUGGAUCAAAUCAGAUGGACGGUCGGAGGCGGCAACUCCUAUACUGCCCGCUCUGCAUACCGCUACCAAUUCAACCAAGUCUCGCCUGCAGCUGGGUGCAAAUCAAUCAUCAGGAAAGCUUGGGCUCCUGGCAAUGUAAAUUUUUUGCUUGGUUGCUACACCGCAACAGACUAUGGGUCAACGAUCGGCUUCAGUGCAGAGGGUGGCUGA